AAAAAUAGAAAAAAAUAUAAUAGUAUAUAAAACAUUUAGUUCAUAUACUUAUUAAAAAAAUAUUUUAUUAGAAAACCAUGAUAUUAUAAUAUAAUAAAUAUAAUAUUAUAUAAUAACAUUUAGUUCAUAUACUAUCAAAAGUAUAUUAAUAAGUAAUAAAAACUAUUAACAAAGUAAAAUGUAUUAAACAAAUCAUUAUAUAUUAAUAAUGAUGAAUAUGAAAUAUAAACAAUAAUAUUAUAGAGUUACACAAUAUAUAAUAUUAAAAUAAAAAUUAGAUAUUUAAAAUAUUUAUAAUAAUAUCA
Molecule: long non-coding RNA, 305 nt
Filed under: Brassica rapa (field mustard)
Lineage: Eukaryota; Viridiplantae; Streptophyta; Magnoliopsida; Brassicales; Brassicaceae
Description: long non-coding RNA (BRAP_LNC005129)
Source: RNAcentral